RNAcentral lists this ribosomal RNA (596 nucleotides) under uncultured bacterium. RNAcentral describes it as "bacterial SSU rRNA". It matches the Rfam family "Bacterial small subunit ribosomal RNA", at positions 338 to 952 of the family's 1533-position model. The record is from RNAcentral.
CCUACGGGAGGCAGCAGUGGGGAAUAUUGGACAAUGGGCGAAAGCCUGAUCCAGCAAUGCCGCGUGAGUGAUGAAGGCCUUAGGGUUGUAAAGCUCUUUUACCAGGGAUGAUAAUGACAGUACCUGGAGAAUAAGCUCCGGCUAACUCCGUGCCAGCAGCCGCGGUAAUACGGAGGGAGCUAGCGUUGUUCGGAAUUACUGGGCGUAAAGCGUACGUAGGCGGUUAUUCAAGUCAGAGGUGAAAGCCUGGAGCUCAACUCCAGAACUGCCUUUGAAACUAGGUAGCUAGAAUCACGGAGAGGUUAGUGGAAUUCCGAGUGUAGAGGUGAAAUUCGUAGAUAUUCGGAAGAACACCAGUGGCGAAGGCGACUAACUGGACGUGUAUUGACGCUGAGGUACGAAAGCGUGGGGAGCAAACAGGAUUAGAUACCCUGGUAGUCCACGCCGUAAACGAUGAUAACUAGCUGUUCGGUCUCUACGAGACUGAGUGGCGCAGCUAACGCAUUAAGUUAUCCGCCUGGGGAGUACGGUCGCAAGAUUAAAAACUCAAAAGAUAGUACGGACGNGUGAGNGUCGACGAGCACACGGAGGUAGAG